Molecule: ribosomal RNA, 162 nt
Filed under: uncultured bacterium
Lineage: Bacteria
Description: partial 16S ribosomal RNA
Rfam family: Bacterial small subunit ribosomal RNA
Source: RNAcentral
UGGGGAAUAUUGCACAAUGGGGGAAACCCUGAUGCAGCGACGCCGCGUGAGUGAAGAAGUAUUUCGGUAUGUAAACCUCUGUCAGCAGGGAAGAACGGUCACUGUGCUAAUCAGCAGUGAAUUGACGGUACCUGCAAAGGAAGCACCGGCUAACUCCGUGCC